RNAcentral lists this ribosomal RNA (406 nucleotides) under uncultured bacterium. RNAcentral's name for it is "partial 16S ribosomal RNA". It matches the Rfam family "Bacterial small subunit ribosomal RNA", at positions 30 to 526 of the family's 1533-position model. The record is from RNAcentral.
AUUGAACGCUGGCGGCAGGCCUAACACAUGCAAGUCGAACGAGUGGCGGACGGGUGAGUAAUGUAUGGGAAACUGCCUGAUGGAGGGGGAUAACUACUGGAAACGGUAGCUAAUACCGCAUACCAUCGGAUGUGCCAAGAUGGGAUUAGCUAGAAGGUGGGGUAAAGGCUCACGUAGGCGACGAUCCCUAGCUGGUUUGAGAGGAUGACCAGCCACACUGGAACUUAGACAUGGGUCCGACUCCUACGUGAGGCAGCAGUGGGGAUGAUUGCACAAUGGGCGCAAGCCUGAUGCAGCCAUGCCGCGUGUAUGAAGAAGGCCUUCGGGUUGUAAAGUACGUUCAGCGGGGAGGCGUUACCCGCAGAAGAAGCACCGGCUAACUCCGUGCCAGCAGCCGCGGUAAUAC